RNAcentral lists this ribosomal RNA (582 nucleotides) under Ptomaphagus hirtus. RNAcentral's name for it is "partial 16S ribosomal RNA". The stretch from base 341 to 499 matches the Rfam family "Bacterial large subunit ribosomal RNA", at positions 2473 to 2632 of the family's 2925-position model. Lineage: Eukaryota; Metazoa; Arthropoda; Insecta; Coleoptera; Leiodidae. The record is from RNAcentral.
AUUAAUUUAAUGGCUGCAGUAUUUUAACUGUACAAAGGUAGCAUAAUAAUUAGUUCCUUAAUUAGGGACUGGAAUGAAGGAUUGAACGAGAUAAAAAUUGUCUCUUUUUAAGUUUUAUAAUUUUAUUUUUAAGUUAAAAAGCUUAAAUAAUAUUAAAAGACGAGAAGACCCUAUAGAGUUUUAUAAUUAUAUUAUAUUUAAAUUUUAGAAAUAAAAUUUUAUUUAUUUAAUAAUUAUUUGAUUGGGGUGAUUUUAAAAUUUGAAAAACUUUAAUAUUUUUUACAUUUAUAUAUGAUUAAUUGAUCCAUAAUUUAUGAUUAAAAGAUUAAAUUACCUUAGGGAUAACAGCGUAAUUUUUUUAAAGAGUUCUUAUCGAAAAAAAAGAUUGCGACCUCGAUGUUGGAUUAAAAUAAAUUUUUGGUGUAGAAGCUAAAAUAUUAGGUCUGUUCGACCUUUAAAAUUUUACAUGAUCUGAGUUUAAAUCGGCGUGAGCCAGGUUGGUUUCUAUCUUUAAUUAAAUAAAAUAUUUUAGUACGAAAGGACCAGAUAUUUAUAAAGUUUAUUUAUUUAUGAUUAAUAUUA